GGCGCACGGGUGAGUAACACGUGAGUAAUUUCCCUCUAAGCUUGGGAUAACAUUGCGAAAGCAGUGCUAAUACCAAAUAAGACCACGGUAUCAUAUGAUACAGUGGGAAAAGGUGGCCUCUGUAUAUGCUAUCACUUGGAGAUGAGCUCGCGGACCAUUAGCUUGUUGGUAGGGUAACGGCCUACCAAGGCGAAGAUGGUUAGCUGGUCUGAGAGGAUGAUCAGCCACACUGGAACUGAGACACGGUCCAGACUCCUACGGGAGGCAGCAGUGGGGAAUAUUGCGCAAUGGGGGAAACCCUGACGCAGUGACGCCGUGUGAGUGAUGAAGGUCUCCGGAUCGUAAAGCUCUGUCAGAUGGGAAGAAUAAAGGCAGGGAAAAUAUUUCUGCAUGAUGACGGUACCAUCAGAGGAAGCACCGGCUAACUCCGUGCCAGCAGCCGCGGUAAUACGGAGGGUGCAAACGUUGUUCGGAAUUACUGGGCGUAAAGCGCAUGUAGGCGGAUAUGUAGGUCAGAUGUGAAAGCCCUUGGCUCAACCAAGGAAGUGCAUCUGAAACCACAUAUCUUGAGUAUGACAGAGGGAAGUGGAAUUCCC
Molecule: ribosomal RNA, 596 nt
Filed under: uncultured Pseudomonadota bacterium
Lineage: Bacteria; Pseudomonadati; Pseudomonadota
Description: bacterial SSU rRNA
Rfam family: Bacterial small subunit ribosomal RNA
Source: RNAcentral